Molecule: ribosomal RNA, 253 nt
Filed under: uncultured bacterium
Lineage: Bacteria
Description: partial 16S ribosomal RNA
Rfam family: Bacterial small subunit ribosomal RNA
Source: RNAcentral
UACAGAGGUCCCAAGCGUUGUUCGGAUUCACUGGGCGUAAAGGGUGCGUAGGUGGUGGGGUAAGUCGGAUGUGAAAUCUCCGAGCUCAACUCGGAAAUGGCAUUGGAAACUACCCUGCUAGAGGGUCGGAGGGGGGACUGGAAUGCUUGGUGUAGCAGUGAAAUGCGUAGAUAUCAAGCGGAACACCAGUGGCGAAGGCGAGUCUCUGGACAUUUCCUGACGCUGAGGCACGAAAGCCAGGGGAGCAAACGGG